Molecule: long non-coding RNA, 6143 nt
Filed under: Sus scrofa (pig)
Lineage: Eukaryota; Metazoa; Chordata; Mammalia; Artiodactyla; Suidae
Description: lncRNA (ENSSSCG00060037597.1)
Source: RNAcentral
CAUGGGUAGCAGCAUUCCUCUGUCUCUGGGGAGUGAGUGGCAGUGACUAUUGGCUACUUUGGUUGCUAAAGCUGCCAGUGUUCUUGGCAGAGAAGGCUGCUGGAAUCUACACCAGUAAACACUAUGGAAUCUUCUAUUUUGAAAGCUGUGGGUAGUCCAUGGUUGUCAUAGAAGCUCCUGAAGUCCUCAGGAAGAAAGGCUGCCAUAGUCUUGUUUAGAACAGGCUGCUGGGGACUGUAGUGGCAUCUACUGCAUUGUUUUACUGAUAGUACCUACCCAUAUUUUUUACUCUUAACCAUCUCCAGACACUUUAGCAAAACCAAUCUCUCCAGGCAAUCCUUUCCAUGAUGUUAUUCUCCACAUUUUGCUCCACUGUGUUGUUGUAGGUUCUUAAUUGGAGUCUUGAACCCUACUGGGGCUAUUUUCAGUCAUAGAUAGCUAUCUAUUGUUUUGUUGUUUUUGGGAAUUAUAUCUGAUAUCUUCUAUUCUACUGUCUUGCUGUUGUCCUUUAUUCUUCUUUUUCCCUCUGUUAUUCUCCGUAUCAUUGCUAUAAUGUAUUUAUUAUCUAUCUAUUGUCUUUCUAGGCAUUGCUAUUCCAAUCUGCUCGAUUAACAUCACUGACUUCUCAUUGUUUAUAUUAUCUUGUAUAAAAAUGCUAGUCUUGUGUAUAUAAAUCCACAUAUACUAGUCUAAACCUACUUCACGCAGCUUAUGUCUCUUAUUAUUCCCAUCUGGGCCUCUCCUCUAACUAGUGACUUUUCACCAAAAUCACACUUGUAAAGGUGACUUUAGUUACCCUGUUUCCAUAGAAUCCUCUUCUAAUUCUUAUUAAAUGUCUCUUCUUAAGAGAUCCUGUUCAAAUGCCAUCUCUUGUGGGAAAUCUUCAUUAAUUGCUCUAGAUAGAAUUCAAUAUAUCGGUCUCUAUGUUGUCACACCAUUAUGUUCACAACUUUCUCAUUGUGCUUGUACAUUUUAUUGAAAUUCUCUUGUCCACUUCAUCCCUCUUUUAUUGGGACCCCUGGAGGUGGGGGAUCUGUGUAUAAUUCCUUUAUGAAGUCCUUGCACAUGGCAAAAGUAAGGCAUUGUAAAUGCUUCUAAAUAGUUUACUGAAGCAAUAUGAGGUCAUGAAGAAGGUAAAAGAAGCUACUUCUUCACUUUUAAUUACUCACAGAUCUCAAGUGUGAAAUUGCUAUAAAUAUGAAUGAAAAUAUCCUGACCUCCAUUUUAUCACAAUUCCCAGGCUGAGUCUGUAGUUAGAGGUGGAGAAUAGUGGAAAAGGGUGGUGUAGCUUGGUAGAAAGCAUAGUAGCCUAGAAUUAAUGAGACCCUCAGCCCUGGUUUUGCAAUGUCACUUAAUAGCCAAAUGAUGUAGUUAUUGUCUUUAUUCUCUAUCUACAAAUGAAAGAAACAGUUGUUAAAAAUUUUUAUGAUGGCCUUCAAGUUUUCCAAUGUAUUUAGGAAAAAAAAUGUAAAUUUUUUAAAAAGUUAAUGUUAUCUUGCCCAGAGAAUUUCUUCAAGUUGAUAUCUUAGAUAUUACAAAACUGAUUUUUCAAGUUUCUAAAUUUAAUUAUCUUUUUUCCUGGCAUGAAUUGGUUAAUUAACAUAAAAUGCCUAUGACUUAUAGUGGCAUAAAAUAUAUUAAUUGAUGAAUAACAAACUAUUAUUAAUGUCAAAUGUAAUCAUACAUUUUUAAAUAAUACUUUGAAAUUUGCAAAAUGACUUUCUUUCAUUUAUCUUAUAAUGAUCUUAAGGGAUAGAUGAAGUAGAUAUUUUUCCUGUCUUACAUGGCCUGAAAAAUUAGAGAAAUACAUUAAAUAAUUUUUCCAGCAUUAACAAGCUACAAUGUUAUAAAACUGAAACUUGACUAAUUAUUGCAAUACAUCACAGUUUUUCUAAAAUGUUUUGAGGCUGAGGCUUUGAAUUAAUACUCAGCUUUCCUGGAACAUUUUUCAAGAUUUUGGUUUAUCCUUUUUUUAAAAGAAACAAAGCAGGAUUGAGUUAGGGAAGUCAGAAUGUUUUGGUUAGUUUUAGGAUCUCAAAUUUCAUGAGGCCAAUAAAGUGUUACAUUGUUUUUCUUUUAUGAUUUUUAAAUAUAUUAGUUUUGGUAUCUCUGCAUGAUGGUAUAAUCAACAAACCUCAGUUCUAAUCACACAUGUUCUAAUAAUAGUCAUUCAACAUAAUUUUAGAAUAAGCUUUGAACAAGAGUUAAAUUUAAUGAUUCUUCAAACUUCAAACUACUCUCUAUACUUAUGACACCAUCUCUAGAUGGCUGUUGAUUAUGAAACUAGGAUUAACAAUAAAUCAGUGUAAACAUUAUUAUUGGAAUUUCUUACUGGGCACUAGAAUAUAAAUCCUGACUGAGGUGAGUUGUUUUGAAACAGAAAAACCCUUCAUGGAUGAAAGCUAAUAAAAAUAGAAUUAUAUGUUUAAAAUAAGUUUAUAAUUUUUGAGAUGAGAUACACUUUUUUAAUUUUCUAAAGAGUCAAAAUAAAGAUGAACAUUAAUAGACUCAGUAUUUAUAGGAAAACAUAGAUACAAGCACCUCGACUUCAAGGUCUUUUAUAAUUUCCAUUUUAGGAUCAAUUCUUGACAUAUGCAUAAGCUGUCAUAAAUUUGCUUUACUAAGAUGUAAGAACAGUAUCAACUCAACAAUUUUUAAAAUCUCACUUCCAUAGCAGUCCUAAUUAUUACUUUGUGCAAUCGUUCUCAAUCUCGACUAUAUAUACCCAGACUUUUAAAAAAUAUUGAUAUCUGGAAACUGGGGCCACAGAUUCAGUAGAACAAAAAUUCUGAGGAAUCUGAAAGUUACCCUAGCAUACACAAUUAUGUUUGUACUAUUUUCAUGUUCAAUAUAUUUCAGUGAAUUUUAAUGACUAAAAAUCAAUAGCCUGUGGAUGAUAUAUACCAUAAUUCCAUUGCCAAGACUGUUUUAUUAAGUGAAUAGCCAAUUCUCAAUAGGUCUGGAAGUCAGUGCUGCGAUAUGAAGAGGGCUCCUGGAGCCAUUAUUGGUAUGUGCAUAUGUAAUAUAUUUAUAAUCUUCCUACUACAACAGUUCAGUCCCGCAGAAGACCUUUCUCAUCACAUCAUCAGUCCAGGUAGGUAGAGUGAACCAAAAGGGAAAUAUUAACUCUUCUCUUCAGUAGUCAUGAUCCAUUAUCAACAUUCUGUUUUGAUACAGUAUGAAUUAUUCAGACUUAUUUACUAUUCAUAUAUUUGAUUGAAUAGAAAAAAUGUUUACAAUUGCCUUUUGCAACAUUGAAAAUGCCCUAUGCUUUGACUAAUUCCAACUUCUGGCAGUCACAAAUGUAUAAUAUUUAAGUCCCCUAAUUACUAUUUAUGAUAAUUAACAGCUUUUCUAUUGCAGGUAGCCACCACCACCCUCCAACUUGAUAACAUUUUUCUCAGCUGAAAUAUUCUUAAUUUAUAUUUUACUUACUGGCUUCGUUUUUUUCUUUCAACUCUUUUUGGAAUGUAACCUCCAAAAGAUUUUUUAAUUGGUUCUUAUUUGCUAUCAAGCAACUCUAAGUAGAACAUAUAUUAUUAGCAUAUUGUCCUUGAGAAAAAAACGUGGAAACAAAUCUGAACUAACUCUUAUUACUUCAAUGAUUCGGAUAUUUACACACACAUGCACAUACAUACUUAUUUUAAAAAAGAGUGUUUAAUAUUAUUUAUAAGCUGGAAGAAUAUUUUCAGAUCAGCUCAUUAUUAUUUAUAGUUAUAUUGUACAAGUUAAGGCAAUGACUGGGGUAGCAUGAGUUUGACAAGAAUAGGGAAGAGCCAAUUUGAAAUUCCAGAUUUUCAAACACACAUUUUUCAGGCUAAAACACAAGCACUCUAAAGCUACUUAUGUCACCCUUAGAAUUAGCAUCUAAAUGUAUGCCGGAGUCCAGCUCCAGCAGAUCCAGGGUUUCCUGAAGGAUGGGCGGCGUCAGCAAAAGAAUGGACACAGACCCAGCGUUUAUGUGGGACUGCUCAUUUAUUGAUUGAAUCAACCAAGCUUAUAUACAAUUUUUAUUUCCUCUUAGCAAGCGUCAUACAUCUCGUGAUAUUUUUUAACUUUCCAAUCCACCAAAUAUGUCCUCAUGAUUUUGUGUGUCAAGGGGACAUUCACGAUGGUCUUUUUUCUUGUACUUUCCACUUGACUUCUCAGCAUUUAAUAUAUUUACAACUAUGACCUAAUUCUUACAGAACAGAAAGAAAAGGCUUGUUAACUAUAGAAAUCUCUUUGUUUAGCUCUAACUAUUUUUCAUUAGCAAAGUUAAAUUAUAUUAUCAAAGGUUUCUAAAGAAGAUCUUUUUAGUCUUUGUGGUUAGAUCAAAAGGGCAGAUCACAAUAGAAAUAGAGGCCGUGACGUCUACACUCUUUGGGGUAGAGCUAAUUGACCUGACAUAUCAGUUCACAAUUGGUUGGCCUUCUGCAGCAGCCCCAUAUUUUUCUAACUUGUUUUUAGUUGCUAGGUAUAAACUGUACCAGCUUUCCUCGUGUCAAUGCCCAGUGCCUAUUGUAUUUAUCAGCUAUUCCCUGGUAGGGAAAACAACUUCACACAUUGGGGUUAAAUGGCCCAUGUCCUGGCCUAUUGUCAAGCCUAACCAUAUUCUCAAAGUAGCACUGGUAAUCAGAAAGCAUUCUAUUGGGGACUUUCUUAGGGGCAGUCCCAUAAGUGGAAAGGGGAUAGAGAAAGGGGGAACUGUAGGGACUUUAGGGAUUUCUUGCAGCCUAUGAGAAAGCACUAAUUCCCAGUGUUUACCCUCUCCUGAGCCUUUUUCUUGGGAUCUUUCAUUAAGCUGUAAUUCCCCAGCUCCCAAGGUUUCCACUGGCAGUAUGACUAAACAGAGAAGAAGAAGCAGGACCGUCGCUUUCCCAGACUUGCCAUGCAGUCUGGGGUCAUCAGUCUCCUUGACCAUGUCAGAAGGCAGACCCUCACGAACAGCUCCCAGCAUAUGUACAUAUUUCUUCCAGUGAGUGCUAAAUAUAUGCAUAAAAAUCAUAAACUGGGCUAUAUGAUGAUGCUCAUCUUCAAAGGACAGUGCAACCGUCCAGAUAUUUAGUUUGUUCCAUUUUCAUUAAAUAAAGUGUAUCUAGGCAUCAUAUAAAGAUCCUUAUAAAGCUACUUGCUUAGUCUUAAAUAAUGGUUUUUGAUGCUUUGGUGAGAAAUCUUCACAGAACUCUUCAAAUUUAAGUUAUCCUUUGAAAUGUUCUUUCCCAAAGAUUGACAUAAUUCUUUUAUUUUGUCAAAAAAGCUAAAGCAGUGAUUUAUCUUAAUAUGUGUUAGGUAUUCAGUGCCUCUUACUUUCAUAUCUAUACAAUAAAUUCCUUUUAUAGCUUGGAGUUGGGACCAUAGGAAAGCUGUUUCUCUCCAGACUGUUUCUCUCCAGACUGUUUCUGCCAGUCUCUUUCAUCAGAUAAGGAGGAAAAUGAAACUCAUUCUUAUCUUCUCUCCUCUAUUAUGUGACUUCAUUUUCAUUUUAAAAGUUCAACUUAUUGAUUUCAUCUUGGUAUAUCCAUUAUACAUGUUUAGUGCAUAUAGUGUAGAUAAAUAAUAAAAAGUUUAAAAAGCCACAAUUUUGUUUUAUUUUAAUGAAAAUAUUACCUAAAAGUAUUUUAGUUUUCCUAAAUAUCAUAAUUAUCCUAUUAAUACACACUCUUAGAAAAAAAUCAUAUUUUGUCUCCUUUAAGAAUGUACCUUGUUAUCUUUUCAUUUAUUUUGAACAAAUAUUUAGGACACUAAGUGCUAUUUUUAAAAAGUUUUAAUUCUUUAGUAUUCCAUAACUAGCAAUUAAAUUUAGACACACAGAUAUAUUUCAAUUAUUCACUUCUAAAAAUAAUUAGAUUCAGCUUCAAGGAUAUUUAAUAUAACUACACAUCUAAGAUUAUUUCUUUAGGAUACACUUCCAGAAGUGGUUUAUUUCUUGAUUGAAAGGGUGUAAAAAAUGUUAAGACGUUUGACUUAUGCUUUUAAAAUCCCCUGUAGAAAAUAUCCAUUUUCUUAAUGGGCCAAGUUUAUGUAUGCCUUGUAUUAUAAAUUGCAUCAAAUAUAUAUUUUAUAUGCAUGCCAUACACUAGAAAUGCAAAUGUAAUUAGAUAAAGCAACAGAUAUAAUACCUAAUUAUUAUAUGACAAGCUGACAUAGUUUUAAGUGUAUUU